RNA transcript from Eufriesea mexicana, 650 nucleotides. It is a transcript of the gene named ribosomal protein S24, with no coding region annotated. The transcript is spliced from 5 exons. The record is from RefSeq and is a predicted model, not a curated record. Lineage: Eukaryota; Metazoa; Arthropoda; Insecta; Hymenoptera; Apidae.
GACCGUUGAUGGCGCUGCACGCUUCCGCAACUGUCUUUUUACUAGCGGUAUAAUAAUCAAGCAAAAUGACAGAAGGUGCAGUUACUAUUAGGACCAGGAAAUUUAUGAGCAAUCGGUUAUUAUGCCGAAAACAAAUGGUUGUGGAUGUAUUUCAUCCAGGCCAUCCAUCAGUUAGAAAAACAGAAAUACGUGAGAAGCUAGCUAAAAUGUACAAAGUAACACCAGAUGUAGUAUUUGUAUUUGGUUUCCAAACCAAUUUUGGUGGUGGUAAAUCAACUGGAUUUGCAUUAAUCUAUGAUACAUUGGACUUCGCAAAAAGAUUUGAACCUAAAUACAGAUUAGCUAGGCAUGGAUUGUUUGAAAAACAAAAACAGACAAGAAAACAGCGCAAAGAACGUAAAAACAGAAUGAAAAAGGUUAGGGGUACACAGAAGAGCAAAGUAGGAGCUGCAUCGAAAAAGGGAAGGAAGUAGUCAAAUGCUCAAUAUUUUUACUACAAUUCAUCAAGAGGGAACUUAAUUAUGAUGCUCAUAUAUGUAAAACCAUAAGACAUCAUGAAGACUGCGAUUUGUUCAACAUGGACGUAAAAAUUAUUAUAAUAAUUUAUUAUCACAGAUAAUUAUGAUAAGUUUUACAGAAUAAAAGUGUAC